This 440-nucleotide ribosomal RNA is filed under the name uncultured bacterium. RNAcentral describes it as "partial 16S ribosomal RNA". It matches the Rfam family "Bacterial small subunit ribosomal RNA", at positions 338 to 795 of the family's 1533-position model. The record is from RNAcentral.
CCUACGGGUGACAGCAGUGGGGGAUAUUGCACAAUGGGGGAAACCCUGAUGCAGCGACGCCGCGUGAGUGAAGAAGCGAUUCGUUAUGUAAAGCUCUAUCAGCAGGGAAGAAAAUGACGGUACCUGAGUAAGAAGCCCCGGCUAACUACGUGCCAGCAGCCGCGGUAAUACGUAGGGGGCAAGCGUUAUCCGGAUUUACUGGGUGUAAAGGGGGCGUAGACGGCAGUGCAAGUCUGGAGUGAAAGGCGGGGGCUCAACCCCCGGACUGCUCUGGAAACUGUACGGCUGGAGUGCAGGAGAGGUAAGCGGAAUGCCUGGUGUAGCGGUGAAAUGCGUAGAUAUCAGGAGGAACACCAGUGGCGAAGGCGGCCUACUGGACUGUAACUGACGUUGAGGCUCGAAAGCGUGGGGAGCAAACAGGAUUAGAUACCCCGGUAGUC